AGGUCUGAGCCCCUCACUGCUCCAUGUGUGUCCCUUCCAGGGCAGUGCACUUGGUCGAAAAGGACAACCUGCCACGAAUAGAGACCAAUCUGUCUUUAGUGAAGGGUAUAUGUGUAGCUGCACUUCCCUGCUAGAACCUCUAAACAAGUUCUCAAGGUCCAUAGUAUGGUACAACAGAAAAAGAAAAUAUCUUCGGUGGCCAUACUUCUUUUUGUUUACCUGA
Molecule: small nuclear RNA, 223 nt
Filed under: Erinaceus europaeus (western European hedgehog)
Lineage: Eukaryota; Metazoa; Chordata; Mammalia; Eulipotyphla; Erinaceidae
Description: 7SK RNA
Rfam family: 7SK RNA
About the family: 7SK was discovered as an abundant small nuclear RNA in the mid-70s but a possible function has only recently been suggested. Two independent studies have found that 7SK RNA binds the CDK9/cyclin T complex (known as elongation factor P-TEFb).
Source: Rfam by way of RNAcentral